This is a long non-coding RNA of Mustela erminea (ermine), 3139 nucleotides long. RefSeq lists it as uncharacterized. Lineage: Eukaryota; Metazoa; Chordata; Mammalia; Carnivora; Mustelidae. The record is from RefSeq and is a predicted model, not a curated record. The transcript is spliced from 2 exons.
UUUGGGUCUGGAACUCAAGUUUUUCUUUUUUAAAAAUGUGCCCUUUCUCCCCAUGAAAAAACAAUGUCGAGGGAUGUAAAUUCACUACACCGAAGGGCGCAGUUAUAAUUGAGUAAUUUUAUUUCAUUCAUUUGGUGGCAGAGAACGUCCUUUGCCUUCAACAUGGUCAUUGGACGGUGUUUCUGGUGUUCAUGCUGGAUUGAGGGUUUCCCACUGUGGUAUCUGAACAUAAUCACAAAACGGUGGUUCGCAUACUUGAUUGGUUCUUGGGAUCAUCGCUCAAUGUGGAUGGGUCCCUUUGGCUUUGCAGUACGGACACAGGUCCAUGUUCCAAGGACAGCCAUUAACCGUGGGGUAUGUAUGUAUACAUUGGAGGAAAAUUGCCACCUGGGACAAGAGAAAAAUGACAUUUCUUUUCUAAGUGUUAACUUGGAGAGGGGCAGCCUCUCCAGGAUUCUAGAAUAAAUGGACAGUAAUGGGCAUUGGAGGUGGCCAAACAGUACACUCCCAUACCGGACAAAGACGUGGAUUGCCGAGGGGACUCCGAUAAAAUUGGCGUACACGUAAGUGGUAACUUCAAAACAACGGGUAUGAAAAAUCGGGGUCAAGUUCCCUUUAGAGAUGGGCUUCCAAGAGAUUGACUUUUGACUGUACGGUCUUAGUCCAGGUUUCCUGGUCUGCUGAAGCGAGAGAGUGUCUGUAAUAUCAUGGUAGGAACAGUAGAGAGAGGGUUGACAGGGCUGGAACGCAGAGCUGCGGUCUGACUUUGGAGUUCUGAAAAGGUAACAGCUGCAUUUGGGACGUAAGCUGGGAAAUGUUCUGGCCCCAGAGUUGUCACAUUAUUCCUGUAUGUUUCAGCCUGGGUUUUCAUGGUAGUGACAUUUCAGUGUAUAGCUGGAGAUCUGCUUUUGCCCCUUUUUGAAGUUCGGCUGUGGGUCCACUGGCUGUGCAGUGUUGGGGCCUUUCCUUCUCCAGAAACAUGGUCCUGUUUGCAGUAAAAUCUAAGCUGGAGAAAACUCUGCUCGUCUUGGGCGUGGAAGAGUAUGAAUCAAGAAGGGGUGACGCCAUAUUUCUCCUUGCUGCAGCUGGGACACGUUUUUCUGCAAAUGCUGUUCCCCUGGAGUUUAUGUUCAAGAUGGGGAGUGGGCAUGCAGGGUUUGAGGAGGGGGCUUGCUUGGGAACACCGGCAAAGAUGUGGACACUCAGGAGCUUUGCCUUUGACUGCUGGGCCAGGCGAUGCCUGGGUCUGGUGUGCACAUGCAAAUAGACCGCACGUCCGUAUUUUUCACUAAGUGUGACAUUUGUGGGGCGCUGCCGCUGUCCCUGCGUGUCCACUGCUCUCUAUCCUUCCCUCCACCUCGCCGAAGGGGCACACGGAGACCGACCUCGUACUUGGUCUGUUGACUGCUUUACCAUUCUUCUUUGAACUUAAAGAGGGUUCACCGCAGCCCCGUCAAGAUCCAAGUCCAUGCUAUUAAACAUUUCUGUAUAGCUGGGUCUUUAUGGUUAGGAGGGGAAAAUCUUAGAAAGCAACUCCAGGAUGAGAAGACAGUGAAGAAAAUGCUGUCCAGGUCCCCCAGAGUCGCAUGUCCCUGAGAAGGCGGCGAACAGCACGUUCAGUUUGGCACGAACCUGUCCUGCGUGUCACCGCCCGCCUGGCUCCGUGUUUGCCCGAAGCCAGCACACAGAAAAGUAACUGAGCAAAAGCUCACUCAGAGCCAUUCAACAAAGCAGCUCCGCAGUGUGCAGUGAGACUCGGACGGAGCCCUCCCUCCCCCGAGUGACAGGUGUGUUGGGCGGGGUGUGUGUGUGAGUGAAGGCACAUAGGCUGGAGUGCCAUCUCCCCCUUGUGUGCCCCCAGCCCCCGCUCUGGGAGUCCAUUUUUCCAGGGGUGACGGUUGUCCUGUGGAAGGGGAAUGGCUUUAUGGAUUUGAGAUUGUUAAUCUUAGGAAAUGUGGGGUUCCGGAUUCCUAGCUGUGCCGACCUGUAUUGACGUGUUUCUUAUCGGAUGCCAGUCAGUGUUGUCGUUGGGAGGUUGUUCCCAUUGUUUGUGAUUUUACGAGAAUAGAGCCCAGAGUGUGAGUUUUCCUCCGUUUCUCCUCCUUUCUUGGGUUACUCCCACCGCUUUCCAGGGUGCCCGUGCUGGCCCCUCCAUUUGGGGUUUCUCCUCUGGCUAGCUCAGUAAAGGGGAAGGCAUUCUCCCUGACACUUUGCUCAGUGAAAGCCUCUUUGGCUGUACAGGUAAGCUUGUUUUUCUCCCCCCGCCCCGGGGGAUUUUACUUGCUGGUAGCUUCCACAUUGAGGUUGGGCCACUGUGCAGCGACCAAGUGCCCCCGAAUGUUGGUGAGAAAUAUGUGUUCGUUGAAGGGGGAGAACGGAAGGCUUGCACAUUGUAGACAAAUUCUUUUUUUUCUUCUGAAAGUGUGGAACACAGUUUUAAGCUCAGUAUAACUGAGAUUGCAGGAUCCGGUGUGGUCCUUAUCCUUGCGGGCUUGGAACACGUCCCCUGCUGGAUACCUGCCUGCCUGGGAUGUGGGAGAGGGAUCUUCCAAGACUGCACCAGCAACCCCUGCGGCACCGCGCCAUGAGCAUUUCUGGCUCCCGCCCUGGAGAUGCUCAUUCAGUCGGUUUGAGGUGGGUUGGGGACGGAUUGGUGGUUCUGAUAAGCUCUAUGGGUGUUUCUGACUUGCAGCCAGAUUUGAGACUCCCUGAACUACAUGCCCUCUUGGGUUCUUUCCAAAGCUGAGAUUUCAUCGGGAACAUCUCAUGAAUGAGUGGAGAAACUGAGGCUCAGAAAGAUUCCAUGGCUUGCUGAGAUGACAUGACCCAGAUGUUGAAACCAAGAUUCUUCUUCCUUUUCCUUUCUCAGAGGGCUCCUGUAGGACAGAGAGGAAGGUAGUUUGGGCUGGACCGUGGGGUUCUUGGGAGCCACAGCCGGGAAUCGAGCCUCUGCUCUGAAGGCAGUAGGGAGCCCUCAGACAUUUCUGAGCAUGGGCACCACAGAAACACAGGUACGAAGCAGGAGCCCAGAGGUUUGCACAACAGCCCUGUUCUCCAUGCAGGAGGCCACAGCAGUCCCAGAAUGAUUUUCUAUAGACUCAACUAACGUGGACCAGACUUUUAUUUAAAAAAAAAAAAA